RNAcentral lists this ribosomal RNA (497 nucleotides) under uncultured bacterium. RNAcentral's name for it is "partial 16S ribosomal RNA". It matches the Rfam family "Bacterial small subunit ribosomal RNA", at positions 28 to 507 of the family's 1533-position model. The record is from RNAcentral.
GAUGAACGCUGGCGGCGUGCCUAAUACAUGCAAGUCGAGCGAACAGAUAAGGAGCUUGCUCCUUUGAAGUUAGCGGCGGACGGGUGAGUAACACGUGGGUAACCUACCUAUAAGACUGGGAUAACUUCGGGAAACCGGAGCUAAUACCGGAUAACAUUUAGAACCGCAUGGUUCUAAAGUGAAAGAUGGUUUUGCUAUCACUUAUAGAUGGACCCGCGCCGUAUUAGCUAGUUGGUAAGGUAACGGCUUACCAAGGCGACGAUACGUAGCCGACCUGAGAGGGUGAUCGGCCACACUGGAACUGAGACACGGUCCAGACUCCUACGGGAGGCAGCAGUAGGGAAUCUUCCGCAAUGGGCGAAAGCCUGACGGAGUAACGCCGCGUGAGUGAUGAAGGGUUUCGGCUCGUAAAACUCUGUUAUUAGGGAAGAACAAAUGUGUAAGUAACUGUGCACAUCUUGACGGUACCUAAUCAGAAAGCCACGGCUAACUACGUG